GAUGAACGCUGGCGGCGUGCCUAAUACAUGCAAGUCGAGCGAACAGACGAGGAGCUUGCUCCUCUGACGUUAGCGGCGGACGGGUGAGUAACACGUGGAUAACCUACCUAUAAGACUGGGAUAACUUCGGGAAACCGGAGCUAAUACCGGAUAAUAUAUUGAACCGCAUGGUUCAAUAGUGAAAGACGGUUUUGCUGUCACUUAUAGAUGGAUCCGCGCCGCAUUAGCUAGUUGGUAAGGUAAUGGCUUACCAAGGCAACGAUGCGUAGCCGACCUGAGAGGGUAAUCGGCCACACUGAAACUAGAAAACGUCCAGACUCCUACGGGAGGCAGCAGUAGGGAAUCUUCCGCAAUGGGCGAAAGCCUGACGGAGCAACGCCGCGUGAGUGAUGAAGGUCUUCGGAUCGUAAAACUCUGUUAUUAGGGAAGAACAAAUGUGUAAGUAACUAUGCACGUCUUGACGGUACCUAAUCAGAAAGCCACGGCUAACUACGUG
This 496-nucleotide ribosomal RNA is filed under the name uncultured bacterium. Its description in RNAcentral is "partial 16S ribosomal RNA". It matches the Rfam family "Bacterial small subunit ribosomal RNA", at positions 28 to 507 of the family's 1533-position model. The record is from RNAcentral.